This is a non-coding RNA of Podarcis lilfordi (Lilford's wall lizard), 72 nucleotides long. The record is from the annotation of a GenBank genome assembly. NCBI's taxonomy places the organism in Eukaryota, Metazoa, Chordata, Lepidosauria, Squamata, Lacertidae.
UCUGGAGUAGCUCAGUUGGUAAAGCAUGAGGCUUAAUCUCAAGAGUUGUGGGUUCAAACACCAUUUUGAGAA